AGUGCUCCCCGCGCUGUUGCGCGUCACACCCGGCUCUCAGACACUUGCUCCGGGACACCGGCUACGCAACCACCCCCCCGCCCGGUGACUGCUGGCCCAGGAACCCACGUUGGGGCAGCCCACGCACCACCCGGCGUCCAGGACCUCCUCACCGGAAGUUGCUUUCUACCUAGGCCCGCCCAGGCCUGCGCGCGGCGCUCCAGGCAUCCGCGGGCGCAUCACAUGACCCCCAAGAGGAGGCCAGCUGAGCCUCAUCUGAAGAGAGACCUGACCUGUGAAAUGGAUUGAUCUGAUUUGCACUGCCCUGACCAUCCUCAAAAACUACAACAUGCCUUAUCUUUUAUCCUGAGCCAAAACAAACUAUCCCAACAGAUAUUCCUCCUAUCAGAGAUUCAGCAGGCUAGGCCACAAGAAGAACCUCCUAGUUGAGUGAUUCUCAGAACUUGAAUCUACCACGAGAAGAGCCUUUUACUACUCCCUUUGCCUCUUACAAGCAACCAAAAUGUGAGAACUGAAUAAAGCACCCUGCACUAUGACAUGCACAAGAAAUGCUUGACGUGAUGUCUGGACCUAUUGGCUUAGCAGAACUCUCAAGUUCCUGAACAUGCCUAAGCUGAAAGCUUCUCUAAACCACUGGAUUUUGAAGAUCUGCAGCGCUAGGACUGCAGCACUUGUAAUCAACUCUGUCAUAGCAGUUCGUUCAUAUUCUAUUAAAGACAGUUGAUUUUCAGCCGUUUGACAUCCUUAUAGCAAAGCUGUCCGUCAACACCUUUUCCUGAAGGGAA
RNAcentral lists this long non-coding RNA (785 nucleotides) under Mus pahari (shrew mouse). RNAcentral's name for it is "predicted gene 6288 (MGP_PahariEiJ_G0003039.1)". The record is from RNAcentral. Lineage: Eukaryota; Metazoa; Chordata; Mammalia; Rodentia; Muridae.